Molecule: ribosomal RNA, 468 nt
Filed under: uncultured bacterium
Lineage: Bacteria
Description: partial 16S ribosomal RNA
Rfam family: Bacterial small subunit ribosomal RNA
Source: RNAcentral
GACGAACGCUGGCGGCGUGCUUAACACAUGCAAGUCGAACGGAAAGGCCCUGCUUUUGUGGGGUGCUCGAGUGGCGAACGGGUGAGUAACACGUGAGUAACCUGCCCUUGACUUUGGGAUAACUUCAGGAAACUGGGGCUAAUACCGGAUAGGAGCUCCUGCUGCAUGGUGGGGGUUGGAAAGUUUCGGCGGUUGGGGAUGGACUCGCGGCUUAUCAGCUUGUUGGUGGGGUAGUGGCUUACCAAGGCUUUGACGGGUAGCCGGCCUGAGAGGGUGACCGGCCAAAUUGGGACUGAGAUACGGCCCAGACUCCUACGGGAGGCAGUAGUGGGGAAUAUUGCACAAUGGGCGGAAGCCUGAUGCAGCAACGCCGCGUGCGGGAUGACGGCCUUCGGGUUGUAAACCGCUUUCGCCUGUGACGAAGCGUGAGUGACGGUAAUGGGUAAAGAAGCACCGGCUAACUACGUG